This 482-nucleotide ribosomal RNA is filed under the name uncultured Pseudomonas sp. Its description in RNAcentral is "bacterial SSU rRNA". It matches the Rfam family "Bacterial small subunit ribosomal RNA", at positions 30 to 505 of the family's 1533-position model. The record is from RNAcentral. Lineage: Bacteria; Pseudomonadati; Pseudomonadota; Gammaproteobacteria; Pseudomonadales; Pseudomonadaceae.
AUUGAACGCUGGCGGCAGGCCUAACACAUGCAAGUCGAGCGGAUGAAUGGAGCUUGCUCCAUGAUUCAGCGGCGGACGGGUGAGUAAUGCCUAGGAAUCUGCCUGGUAGUGGGGGACAACGUUUCGAAAGGAACGCUAAUACCGCAUACGUCCUACGGGAGAAAGCAGGGGACCUUCGGGCCUUGCGCUAUCAGAUGAGCCUAGGUCGGAUUAGCUAGUUGGUGAGGUAAUGGCUCACCAAGGCGACGAUCCGUAACUGGUCUGAGAGGAUGAUCAGUCACACUGGAACUGAGACACGGUCCAGACUCCUACGGGAGGCAGCAGUGGGGAAUAUUGGACAAUGGGCGAAAGCCUGAUCCAGCCAUGCCGCGUGUGUGAAGAAGGUCUUCGGAUUGUAAAGCACUUUAAGUUGGGAGGAAGGGCAUUAACCUAAUACGUUAGUGUUUUGACGUUACCGACAGAAUAAGCACCGGCUAACUUCG